GGCUUGGGAAGCUGACAAAUGGGAGCAAGUGCUUUUUUCUCCAGCCCUGCAGUCUCCUUCACGUGCCUCCCCUUGGCAUAACCUAACUGGGAGUGGCUGGCAGAGCAGAAAUGUGGUUUGCAGGGUGGCCCAGAAUAGAAGUAAGGUGCUGGUAAAUGUUCAACUGACUCUGAAGGUGAGGCCAGGGAGGCCUUGAGGAAGAGAUGGUGGCCCAUCUGCCUUGGAAGGGUCAAGACUGGCCAAAGGUGUUCUUGGCUGACAAAAGAGCAAAGCUCUAUUCUGCAAUGGAAACUGGAGGGAAUCGGAUAGUAGGGAGGGGGAAGCCUAACAGAGGAGCUGCCCGGUACAAGGAGGAGACUCAUCUUGUUACAACCGUCUGUCCUCCAUCUGUGGCGGAAGCCAGUCCUUGAAACUGCAAGCCACCAGCUGCCUCGUUAGGAACGGAUCCAUCACAGAACCAGUAUGAGCCGCACCUUGAUGUGUGACUGGCUUUACAAGGAGUCUACCUUAUAUAUAGUUAGGACAUUAUUUCAUUUCUCAACAAGCCUAUGGCAACUUGCACCCCAAAAUGAGUUCUCAGGAGGCCCUGCAAAUCAGUCACCCGGUGAGGUCACAUACUUAGCCUAACACUGUGGCCCCAAUACACAACAUGCUGGCACAGCCACCCAACUUAUAGCCGUACUACUGGAUACGCCUAGUCCUGGCAAACUGUCAUCUUCCAUGUGAGGGCUGGAGUUUGGAGAAGAGCCAACAGCCAUUCAGAACCAAGUUUUGGGUGGAAGGGCCAUCAGCUAAGACCAUUUAUAAUAAGAAAGCAAGGGUAUGCCAAAGAAUGAGACAGCUUUCCUGUGUUUGAUCACAGACUGCCUCCAGACACGAAGUACUUCAUAAACGCUUUUGAGAAAUGCAGCUCUGUCGGAUAGUCCUUUACCCUUACUAUUUCCUGGUGGAGUUCUAGGUGCCCAGCACUCCUAAGGAGUGGGUAAAACUAUCUCAGUUCAACAGGGGAUGCACCUGAGGCACUAAGAACUGACUUAAGAAUACACAGCUAGGAAGGGGUGAAGCUGAGAUUUGACCGCCAGCAGCCUGACACAAGAGUUCAUGCUUUUAACCACUACAUCAAACUGCCUCCUGGUUAAUACAAGGGCGUUGCCUCCUACAGCAAAGACCUGAAAGGGAGCAAAGCCUGUUUAGAGACGUACACCGGACGAAUUAAUUAGAAAAUCAAUCUUGUCACUACAUGGUUAAAUCUUAAACAUUCAUUUGCAUAGAAUGUUUUGUUUGCUGGUGCAGCCCUGGAACCUAGUGUGAUGACUGGCACGGAGACAAUAAAAUUUUGCUAAAUGAAGAAGUAAAGGA
This is a non-coding RNA of Callorhinus ursinus (northern fur seal), 1359 nucleotides long. NCBI's taxonomy places the organism in Eukaryota, Metazoa, Chordata, Mammalia, Carnivora, Otariidae. The record is from RefSeq and is a predicted model, not a curated record.